UACCUGCAGCUCAAGUGGUGAUCAUUAUUAUUGGGCCUAAAACGUCCGUAGCCGGUUUAGUAAAUGCCUGGGUAAAUCGUGUAGCUUAACUAUACGACUUCCGGGUAGACUGCUAAACUUGAGACCGGGAGAAGCUAGAGGUACUCCUGGGGUAGAGGUGAAAUUCUGUAAUCCUAGGGGGACCACCAGUGGCGAAGGCGUCUAGCUAGAACGGGUCUGACGGUGAGGGACGAAGCCCUGGGGCACAAACCGGAUUAGAUACCCGGGUAGUCCAGGGUGUAAACGCUGCUUGCUUGAUGUUAGUUGGGCUCCGAGCCCAACUAGUGUCGGAGAGAAGUUGUUAAGCAAGCUGCCUGGGAAGUACGGUCGCAAGGCUGAAACUUAAAGGAAUUGGCGGGGGAGCACAGCAACAGGUGGAGCGUGCGGUUU
RNAcentral lists this ribosomal RNA (429 nucleotides) under uncultured archaeon. RNAcentral describes it as "bacterial SSU rRNA". It matches the Rfam family "Archaeal small subunit ribosomal RNA", at positions 474 to 903 of the family's 1478-position model. The record is from RNAcentral.